UGGGUUAAAAUUUCUGCAUAUUUGAUGUGUUAAAUGCUAAAGUAGGCUAUAUUGUUUGAAAUUUUUUCAAUCUACAUAUGUGUUAUUCUUGGGUUAAUAAAGUUGUAUUGUAGAUGACCCAUUAUAAUGAUGGUGAAGGAACCGAUGUUAAUGGAAGAAAAUAGAAAGGGUCUAUGGUUGAAUGAAAUCAAUAUGAUACUCUUAUAUUUUUGGAAGUA
RNAcentral lists this long non-coding RNA (218 nucleotides) under Elaeis guineensis (African oil palm). RNAcentral describes it as "long non-coding RNA (EGUI_LNC031172)". The record is from RNAcentral. Lineage: Eukaryota; Viridiplantae; Streptophyta; Magnoliopsida; Arecales; Arecaceae.